RNAcentral lists this microRNA precursor (118 nucleotides) under Caenorhabditis remanei. RNAcentral's name for it is "mir-787". Lineage: Eukaryota; Metazoa; Nematoda; Chromadorea; Rhabditida; Rhabditidae. The record is from RNAcentral.
UCCACAUGGAAAUGUGGGACCAGUGGAUGAGGGAAACUAGUCGAUCUCACACUAAUUUGACAGAAUGUAAGCUCGUCUUUGUUUUCCUACAUCUCUGGUCCCCCAACUUGUUCAAUGG